GGUGCCACGAUUUGAGCGAAUGAUGAUGCUUGAGGAGGUAUGAUAACAUAAAAAUCAUGCUCACUAGGAUUACAUUGGGGGCC
Small nucleolar RNA from Leptonychotes weddellii (Weddell seal), 83 nucleotides. RefSeq annotates it as small nucleolar RNA SNORD115. NCBI's taxonomy places the organism in Eukaryota, Metazoa, Chordata, Mammalia, Carnivora, Phocidae. The record is from RefSeq and is a predicted model, not a curated record.